AGUAACUGCGAGUGAAGGGGAAAAGCCCAGCGCCGAAUCCUGCUGCUGGUGACGGUGGCAGGAACUGUGGCGUGAAGAAGGUGUCUAUCGGUGUGGCUUGCUCGCGUAAGUUCUCCUGAGUGAGGCUCCAUCCCAUGGAGGGUGCAAGGCCCGUGUCGUGAGCAGCCGUCACCGAUGCGCACUUUCAGAGAGUCGCCUUGUUUGCGAGUACAAGGUGAAGUCGGUGGUAAACUCCAUCGAAGGCUAAAUAUGACCACGAGUCCGAUAGCGAACAAGUACCGUGAGGGAAAAUUGAAAAGCACUUUGAAGAGAGAGCGAAACAGUGCGUGAAACCGCUCAGAGGCAAGCAGAUGGGGCCUCGAAGGCAGAGCGUCGAAUUCAGCCGGUUGUCCGUGCGGUUGGCUGGGAUUGGAGAGCGUAAGCCUCUGCCUGGUUGAUUGGUACGGCUGCCGGUGCACUUUCGACGCUUGUACGCCACCGCCGUUGAGGAGCGUCCGUCGGGCUGGCGUGUGGAGCCUUACUCUCGCAAGAGCGUAGGUGUCUCACUGCUGGUCUGUACGCGUUCGCACCUCAACCGGUCAAGUCAGCAUGUGCCAGCGUUUGCGCUGGGUCAGUCGGCUCCGGUCGGGCUGUAUGGAGAUGGCGAGCUUGCUCGACUCUUCUGCACUUGAUGGAAUCCGUGCUGGCUUUCAGCGUGGCACAUUGUAGAUUCGGUGGCGAGUAGACGGCUGCCCAUCUAACCCGUCUUGAAACACGGACCAAGGAGUUCAACAUGCGCGCCAGUCGUUGGGACUAGAAGCCCGCUGGCAAAGUGAAAGCAAGUCACAGUGUCACGCUGUGUAUUGGCGAGAUCCCGUCACUUGGCCCGCAAGGGUCGAGCCGGGCGCAUCGCCGGCCCAUCAUAAGCUCACGUGGCUGUGGUGGAGCUUGAGCGUGCACGUUGAGACCCGAAAGAUGGUGAACUAUGCCUGGGCAGGAUGAAGCCAGGGGAAACUCUGGUGGAGGUCCGUAGCGAUUCUGACGUGCAAAUCGAUCGUCUGACCUGGGUAUAGGGGCGAAAGACUAAUCGAACCAUCUAGUAGCUGGUUCCCUCCGAAGUUUCCCUCAGGAUAGCUGGCACUCGGAGAACGUAGUCUCUCCCGGUAAAGCGAAUGAUUAGAGGCCUUGGGGUCGAAACGACCUCAACCUAUUCUCAAACUUUAAAUGGGUGAGAAGUCCGGCUUGCUUAAAUGCGAAGCUGAAGUCCGGACGUUGGAUACGAGCGCCUAGUGGGCCACUUUUGGUAAGCAGAACUGGCGCUGUGGGAUGAACCGAACGCUGAGUUAUGGCGCCCGACGAGACGCUCAUGAGAUCCCAGAAAAGGUGUUGGUUGCUAUAGACAGCAGGACGGUGGCCAUGGAAGUCGGAACCCGCUAAGGAGUGUGUAACAACUCACCUGCCGAAGCAACUAGCCCUGAAAAUGGAUGGCGCUAGAGCGUCUGGCCUAUACUCGGCCGUUGCAGCAGCAAUGUAUAAAGUCAAGCUGCAACGAGUAGGAGGGUCGCGGCGGUGGCGUCGAAGGCUUACGGGCGUGAGCCUGGCUGGAGCCGCCGUCGGUGCAGAUCUUGGUGGUAGUAGC
This 1618-nucleotide ribosomal RNA is filed under the name Hypsibius pallidoides. RNAcentral's name for it is "partial large subunit ribosomal RNA". It matches the Rfam family "Eukaryotic large subunit ribosomal RNA", at positions 82 to 1464 of the family's 3401-position model. Lineage: Eukaryota; Metazoa; Tardigrada; Eutardigrada; Parachela; Hypsibiidae. The record is from RNAcentral.